GAUGAACGCUAGCUACAGGCUUAACACAUGCAAGUCGAGGGGAAACGACAUCGAAAGCUUGCUUUUGAUGGGCGUCGACCGGCGCACGGGUGAAUAACGCGUAUCCAACCUGCCCAUCACUUGGGGAUAACCUUGCGAAAGUAAGACUAAUACCCAAUGACGUCUCUAGAAGACAUCUGAAAGAGAUUAAAGAUUUAUCGGUGAUGGAUGGGGAUGCGUCUGAUUAGCUUGUUGGCGGGGUAACGGCCCACCAAGGCUACGAUCAGUAGGGGUUCUGAGAGGAAGGUACCCCACAUUGGAACUGAGACACGGUCCAAACUCCUACGGGAGGCAGCAGUGAGGAAUAUUGGUCAAUGGACGAGAGUCUGAACCAGCCAAGUAGCGUGCAGGAAGAUGGCCCUAUGGGUUGUAAACUGGUUUUAUAAGGGAAUAAAGUGAGUCUCGUGAGACUUUUUGCAUGUACCUUAUGAAUAAGGACCGGCUAAUUCCGUGCCAGCCGCCGCGGUAA
Molecule: ribosomal RNA, 508 nt
Filed under: uncultured bacterium
Lineage: Bacteria
Description: partial 16S ribosomal RNA
Rfam family: Bacterial small subunit ribosomal RNA
Source: RNAcentral